CCUGUUAUCGUCUAGUGGUUAGGACACCAGGUUUUGAAGCUUCUUCUUCUUCGUAUUUUACUCUACUCUUCUUAAUCAAGUCGAGAAUUUCCUGGUAACCUGGGUUCGACUCCCAGUAACAGGU
This is a non-coding RNA of Cronartium quercuum f. sp. fusiforme G11, 124 nucleotides long. NCBI's taxonomy places the organism in Eukaryota, Fungi, Basidiomycota, Pucciniomycetes, Pucciniales, Coleosporiaceae. The record is from the annotation of a GenBank genome assembly.